UUAACUCAAAUUUGUAUGGAGUUAGAACGUUUGCAUACGUUUGCCGCUGGGGGCGCUGUUCCAACUCCAUACAAAUUUGAGUUA
Bombyx mori (domestic silkworm) is the source of this 84-nucleotide non-coding RNA. The record is from Rfam. NCBI's taxonomy places the organism in Eukaryota, Metazoa, Arthropoda, Insecta, Lepidoptera, Bombycidae.